GGGGGGGGGGGGGGGUGGGCCGGGCGGGGGCGGGUCGGGCGGCAGCGGAGUAAGAGCUGGCGCUUACGGGGCCCGCGGGGCGGACGGGCGAGGAAUACAUCCGCAUCGACUUUCGCGUGGGCGAUAACGGCGGGCAACUGACGCUAAUACCGCAUAGCACCUCCGGCUGAAACCAAGCGCUCUCCCGGCCUCGCGCGACUCACUGCUCAGAUGUCGGAGUAGCUAGUUGGCGGGGUAAAGGCCCACCAAGGCGACGAUCCGUAGCUGGUCUGAGAGGAUGAUCAGCCACACUGGAACUGAGACACGGUCCAGACUCCUACGGGAGGCAGCAGUGGGGAAUAUUGGACAAUGGGCGCAAGCCUGAUCCAGCCAUACCGCGUGGGUGAAGAAGGCCUUCGGGUUGUAAAGCCCUUUUGUUGGGAAAGAAAAGCAGCAGGUUAAUACCCCGCUGUUCUGACGGUACCCAAAGAAUAAGCACCGGCUAACUUCGUG
Molecule: ribosomal RNA, 492 nt
Filed under: uncultured bacterium
Lineage: Bacteria
Description: partial 16S ribosomal RNA
Rfam family: Bacterial small subunit ribosomal RNA
Source: RNAcentral